Molecule: ribosomal RNA, 526 nt
Filed under: uncultured Actinomycetes bacterium
Lineage: Bacteria; Bacillati; Actinomycetota; Actinomycetes
Description: bacterial SSU rRNA
Rfam family: Bacterial small subunit ribosomal RNA
Source: RNAcentral
AGAGUUUGAUCAUGGCUCAGGACGAACGCUGGCGGCGCGCUUAACACAUGCAAGUCGAGCGAGAACCAUUCCUUCGGGAAUGGGGACAGCGGCGAACGGGUGAGUAACACGUGGGUAAUCUGCCCUCGAUUCUGGGAUAGCCCGGGGAAACCCGGAUUAAUACCGGAUAGCCUCUCGAGCUUUCGAGCUCUUGAGAAAAGGUAGCUUCGGCCUCCGAUCGAGGAUGAGCCCGCGGCGGAUUAGCUUGUUGGUGGGGUAAUGGCCUACCAAGGCGACGAUCCGUAGCUGGUCUGAGAGGACGAUCAGCCACACUGGGACUGAGACACGGCCCAGACUCCUACGGGAGGCAGCAGUGGGGAAUCUUGCGCAAUGGGCGAAAGCCUGACGCAGCGACGCCGCGUGGGGGAAGAAGGCCUUCGGGUUGUAAACCUCUUUCAGCAGGGACGAAGCCACUCGGGUUAAUAGCCCAGAGGGUGACGGUACCUGCAGAAGAAGCCCGGCUAACUACGUGCCAGCAGCCGCGGUA